Non-coding RNA from Parelaphostrongylus tenuis, 71 nucleotides. The record is from the annotation of a GenBank genome assembly. Lineage: Eukaryota; Metazoa; Nematoda; Chromadorea; Rhabditida; Metastrongylidae.
ACCUCGGUGGUGUAGUGGUAGCACACGUCCCCGGCGUGGAUGAAAUGCGGCUUCGACUCCCGCCUGAGGUU